UUUCCGUAAGUGAACCUGCGGAAGGAUCAUUAUUGUAUAACCGAGGUGCGAGGGCUGUCGCUGACCCGAAAGGUCGUGCACGCCCGAGUGCCCUCACACACAUCCAUCUCACCCCUAAGUGCACCACCGCGUGGGUCCCCCUUUGGCUUGUUCGGAGGGGGGCUUACGUUUUCACACAAACUUUGUAUGCAGUGUAGAAUGUAUUUUUUGUUUUUGCGAUCACGCAAUCAAUACAACUUUCAACAACGGAUCUCUUGGCUCUC
Molecule: unclassified non-coding RNA, 263 nt
Filed under: plant metagenome
Description: partial contains small subunit ribosomal RNA, internal transcribed spacer 1, and 5.8S ribosomal RNA
Source: RNAcentral